AUGCCGUGAAUUUCUGUACGUCCCUCACUGUGUUUAUUCGGGAUCAAUAGGUCCUUUCAACGUAUCGUAUGAAUGCCAAAAGAAGUGUGGUGUAUUUAUUGUGAAAUUUUAGAUUUUGAUGCUUACGGAACGAAAACCUUGGUGCGUAUUUAUCUUGAGAAAGCUGAGGAAUGAUUGUAGUGGAAGUAUCUAUAUACCAGAGGUCACCUGGAGGCUGGAGCUGUGCGAUGAUCCUCGCGUGAGCUUGGCAAGAAACUGGAUCUUUACGGAUCAUACUGCGUUGUUGAUGUUCUUACUUCACAAUUCGAAGGCCUGAUUCAGGGACCCUGGAUUAAUUAUCACUAAUUGCUUAAUCCUCGCUCUUCUGCUCUUAUAGCUGCAACAGGAAUUUUGAUUUGUGCAUCAUGUGAAAGUUUCGGAUUUUUGUGUGCGAACCUCUUUCGCGGAUUCCGCGUCGUUGGAAGCAGGAAUCUUUCUAUUUAUGGAUGCAUUUGAAGCACUGGGAGCGUGUUUAACCAUCAUGAAACCCAGCUCUCGCUGCUGAAGCAUUCGCGGUUUAUUGAAAGCUCAUUAACAGUUCGACCUAAAAGAAUCCCGAUUGUGGAUGAUGAUUGGAUAGUUCGUUGGAAGUGGAAUGGUAUCGAGAAAGAUGCCGAGCAAAAAUCCGAAACCGAAGUCGCGCAAGCGAAGUUCUUCUAAUUCAUCUGGAUCGGCUGAAUCGCAGCCGAAUCAUAUUUUUGACGAUGCACAACUGCGUACCGCCGGUGUAAAUCAAGAUGUUGCAAUGAUGUCCCGCCCAGGGGA
Long non-coding RNA from Paramacrobiotus metropolitanus, 804 nucleotides. RefSeq lists it as uncharacterized. The transcript has 3 exons. Lineage: Eukaryota; Metazoa; Tardigrada; Eutardigrada; Parachela; Macrobiotidae. The record is from RefSeq and is a predicted model, not a curated record.